AGUAAUCAGAGAUAAGUUCACCUUCUUUCAUAUGCAAAGCUUCAAACUCUCCUCUUAGUGUUUGAAGACGUACCUUCUUUACUUGAUCGGCUCCCUUGUAAGAAGUUUGAAGUUUCUCCCAUGCUUCUUUAGCCGUCGUUGCUCCCGAGACCUUCUCGAACGUGUCUUCAUCUAAUCCUUGAUAGAUUAUACAGAGAGCCUUCUUGUCUCUCUUCCUUGAGUCUCUCAAACUAUCCUUUUGAGUUUGAGAUAAAGUACCUUCAUUCUCCGGGAUUACAAGGCCUUUCUCGACUAUCUCCCACACGUCGUGUGCGNNNNNAAUAGGUGGAGAAAGUGUUUAAGUAUUUGAGAGAGGAUAUGAAACUUGUUGGAAGGGAAUGCUACUUAUAUUAUUGAGUGUUUGUAAUUUUUGGCUUGAUUUACAAAUGAC
Molecule: long non-coding RNA, 430 nt
Filed under: Trifolium pratense (red clover)
Lineage: Eukaryota; Viridiplantae; Streptophyta; Magnoliopsida; Fabales; Fabaceae
Description: long non-coding RNA (TPRA_LNC011594)
Source: RNAcentral